This 252-nucleotide ribosomal RNA is filed under the name uncultured bacterium. RNAcentral describes it as "partial 16S ribosomal RNA". It matches the Rfam family "Bacterial small subunit ribosomal RNA", at positions 525 to 776 of the family's 1533-position model. The record is from RNAcentral.
ACAGAGGUCUCAAGCGUUGUUCGGAAUCACUGGGCGUAAAGGGUGCGUAGGUGGCGUGGUAAGUCAGAUGUGAAAGCCCGGGGCUCAACCUCGGAAUUGCAUCCGAUACUACCACGCUAGAGUACUGAAGAGGUGACUAGAAUUCUCGGUGUAGCAGUGAAAUGCGUAGAUAUCGAGAGGAAUACCAACGGCGAAGGCAGGUCACUGGGCAGUUACUGACACUGAGGCACGAAGGCUAGGGUAGCGAACGGG